AGAGUUUGAUCCUGGCUCAGAAUGAACGCUGGCGGCGUGCUUAAACACAUGCAAGUCGCACGAGAACUCUUCUGCUUGCAGAAGAUAGUAAAGUGGCGCACGGGUGAGUAACGCGUGGGUAAUCUACCUCUGAAUUGGGGAUAACAUUGUGAAAGCGAUGCUAAUACCGAAUAAUAUCCCGAGAACUUAGGCUUUUGGGAUCAAAGGUGGCCUCUACAUGUAAGCUACUGUUUAGAGAUGAGCCCGCGUACCAUUAGCUUGUUGGUAGGGUAAUGGCCUACCAAGGCAACGAUGGUUAGCUGGUCUGAGAGGAUGAUCAGCCACACUGGAACUGACACACGGUCCAGACUCCUACGGGAGGCAGCAGUGAGGAAUUUUGCGCAAUGGGGGAAACCCUGACGCAGCAACGCCGCGUGAGUGAUGAAGGCUUUCGAGUCGUAAAGCUCUGUCAAGUGAGAAGAACCUAUCCCGCGUUAAUAUCGCGGGAUACUGACGGUAUCACUGAAGGAAGCACCGGCUAACUACCGGGGGCAGCAGCCGCGGUAAU
Molecule: ribosomal RNA, 547 nt
Filed under: uncultured delta proteobacterium
Lineage: Bacteria; Deltaproteobacteria
Description: bacterial SSU rRNA
Rfam family: Bacterial small subunit ribosomal RNA
Source: RNAcentral